Molecule: ribosomal RNA, 867 nt
Filed under: Klebsiella pneumoniae
Lineage: Bacteria; Pseudomonadati; Pseudomonadota; Gammaproteobacteria; Enterobacterales; Enterobacteriaceae
Description: partial 23S ribosomal RNA
Rfam family: Bacterial large subunit ribosomal RNA
Source: RNAcentral
GGGACACGUGGUAUCCUGUCUGAAUAUGGGGGGACCAUCCUCCAAGGCUAAAUACUCCUGACUGACCGAUAGUGAACCAGUACCGUGAGGGAAAGGCGAAAAGAACCCCGGCGAGGGGAGUGAAAAAGAACCUGAAACCGUGUACGUACAAGCAGUGGGAGCACCUUCGGGUGUGACUGCGUACCUUUUGUAUAAUGGGUCAGCGACUUAUAUUCUGUAGCAAGGUUAACCGUAUAGGGGAGCCGCAGGGAAACCGAGUCUUAACUGGGCGUUAAGUUGCAGGGUAUAGACCCGAAACCCGGUGAUCUAGCCAUGGGCAGGUUGAAGGUUGGGUAACACUAACUGGAGGACCGAACCGACUAAUGUUGAAAAAUUAGCGGAUGACUUGUGGCUGGGGGUGAAAGGCCAAUCAAACCGGGAGAUAGCUGGUUCUCCCCGAAAGCUAUUUAGGUAGCGCCUCGUGAACUCAUCUUCGGGGGUAGAGCACUGUUUCGGCUAGGGGGUCAUCCCGACUUACCAACCCGAUGCAAACUACGAAUACCGAAGAAUGUUAUCACGGGAGACACACGGCGGGUGCUAACGUCCGUCGUGAAGAGGGAAACAACCCAGACCGCCAGCUAAGGUCCCAAAGUCAUGGUUAAGUGGGAAACGAUGUGGGAAGGCACAGACAGCCAGGAUGUUGGCUUAGAAGCAGCCAUCAUUUAAAGAAAGCGUAAUAGCUCACUGGUCGAGUCGGCCUGCGCGGAAGAUGUAACGGGGCUAAACCAUGCACCGAAGCUGCGGCAGCGACACUAUGUGUUGUUGGGUAGGGGAGCGUUCUGUAAGCCUGCGAAGGUGACCUGUGAGGGUUGCUGGAGGUAUCAGAAG